GGAAGUAAAGUCGUAACAAGGUUUCCGUAGGUGAACCUGCGGAAGGAUCAUUAUUGUAUAACCGAGGUGCGAGGGCUGUCGCUGACCCGAAAGGUCGUGCACGCCCGAGUGCCCUCACACACAUCCAUCUCACCCCUAUGUGCACCACCGCGUGGGUCCCCCUUUGGCUUGUUCGGAGGGGGGCUUACGUUUUCACACAAACUUUGUAUGCAGUGUAGAAUGUACUUUUUGUUUUUGCGAUCACGCAAUCAAUACAACUUUCAACAACGGAUCUCUUGGCUCUC
RNAcentral lists this unclassified non-coding RNA (284 nucleotides) under plant metagenome. Its description in RNAcentral is "partial contains small subunit ribosomal RNA, internal transcribed spacer 1, and 5.8S ribosomal RNA". The stretch from base 1 to 53 matches the Rfam family "Eukaryotic small subunit ribosomal RNA", at positions 1778 to 1831 of the family's 1831-position model. The record is from RNAcentral.